Molecule: RNA transcript, 3182 nt
Organism: Oncorhynchus tshawytscha (Chinook salmon)
Lineage: Eukaryota; Metazoa; Chordata; Actinopteri; Salmoniformes; Salmonidae
Gene name: RAS guanyl-releasing protein 2
Exons: 18
Source: RefSeq, a predicted model, not a curated record
UUGAGCUAAACCAUUGCAUUGUGAACCACAUUGCAGAGCACACGUGAGUUAGUACGGCUCUAGCGAUCAACAGAAAUGACAGUAGCCUAAGCCGCAACAGGCAUCUAUUUUAACUUGGUGCUAAGUGCAGGCGGUAGUUCGUUGCACGGGCAGAAAUGUGCAUUUGGGACCUGUAGCAUCAACUCCAACGGAUCGCCUUUCUGAAACUUAUGACUUCAUUUUUCGCAUAAUUUUUUGCGUCUUUUUCCAAGGACUUGCAAGUGCAUGCAUGGGCUUUAUCGUUUGGUUUAGGGGCUACCAAAAAGGCUAUACCCUAACAGUUAGAUCAUCGGAACAGCCAGCCUACAUGGUCUGGUAAUUUGUUUAUUAAAGGUAUCCUGGCACACAGUCUGACAUUAUUGACUGGGCAGACAUUUCGUGUGAUGGGACUCUCCAAACUCUGAAGGAGUGCAUCUGAAUUGGGAAGAGAGGAUAGAGGACAAAGAACACUGGGAAACCAGAGGAAGAGAGGAGGAGGAGAAAAAUGGAGGCCAUAUCUUUAGAUCAGUCUGCGACGGUGGAUGAGCUGGUGGAAGCAUGCAUCCAAGCCUUUGAUGAGACGGGCACUUUGAAGGACCCCUCCCUAGUGCGUAUGUUUCUUAUGAUGCACCCUUGGUACCUUCCCUCCACCGACAUGGCAAAGAAACUACUGCUCAAAUCACAGGAGGACAGCUGCACUGCUGAGCUCAGGACAAGAAUCUGCCACUUGGUGAAGUACUGGAUCAGUGAGUUCCCAGCGGAGUUCAAUCUAAACCCAGAGCUGGCAGAGCAAAUCAAAGACCUCAAGGACCUCUUGACCACUGAGGGGAACGAGCGCCAGAGUCAGCUCAUCGACAUCGACAGCGUGCCGUCAUACAAGUGGAAGCGUCAGGUGACCCAGAGGCAGCCAUCCAUGUCUAAGAAGAGGAAGAUGUCUCUGCUGUUUGACCACCUGGACUCCAGCGAGCUUGCCACACACCUCACCUACCUGGAGUACAAGUCCUUCUGCAAGAUACUGUUCCAGGACUACCACAGCUUUGUGAUGCAUGGCUGCACGGUAGACAACCCCAUCCUGGAGCGCUUCAUCACCCUCUUCAACAGUGUGUCUCAGUGGAUCCAGCUGAUGGUGCUCAGCAAGCCCACCGCCCCCCAGAGGGCUGCAGUCAUCUCCCACUUCAUCAGGGUGGCUCAGAAACUGCUCCAGCUUCAGAACUUCAACACUCUGAUGGCCGUGGUGGGGGGGCUCAGUAACAGCUCUAUAUCUCGCCUCAAAGACACCCAAUCACACAUCAGCAACGAGACCAACAAGGUGUUCAACAGCCUGAUCGAACUGGUGACGUCGUGCGGCAACUACAGCCAGUACCGACGUCGCUUCUCCGACUGCACAGGCUUCCGUUUUCCUAUCCUGGGCGUGCACCUCAAGGAUCUGAUCGCCGUGCACGUGGCGCUGUCCGACUGGGCCGACCCUGACAAGAGCAGGGUCAACCUGGCCAAGAGCCAACAGCUGUAUGUUAUCCUCCAGGAGUUGGCUCUGAUCCAGACCACGCCACCCAGCAUCGAUGCCAACACAGACCUACUUAACCUACUUACGGUGUCUCUGGACCAGUACCACACAGAAGAGGAGAUCUACCAGUUGUCUCUACAGAAAGAGCCACGCAGUGCUAAACCGGCGAACUCCGGCUCCUCCCCCGCGCCUGCCCCCCAGCCAUCGAUGAUUGACGAGUGGGCUGCGUCGGUGAAGCCCAAAGCCGACCCUGCGGUCAUCAACAAACACAUAGAGAAGAUGGUGGAUUCUGUCUUCAAGAACUUUGACACUGACGGGGACGGUCACAUCUCCAGGGAGGAGUUUGAGAUCAUCAGGAACAACUUCCCCUACCUCAGCAAGUUUGGAGAACUGGACAAAAACCAAGAUGGGCAGAUCAGCCGGGAAGAGAUGAUCGACUACUUCAUGAAGGCCAGCUCUCUGCUCAACUGUAAGAUGGGCUUCAUCCACACCUUCACAGAGACCACCUACGUCAAACCCACCUUCUGUGAACACUGUGCUGGCUUUAUAUGGGGCUUCUACAAACAGGGAUACAAGUGUAAAGCGUGUGGAAUUAAUUGUCACAAGGCGUGUCGAGGUCGUCUGGCUGUGGAGUGUCGUAAACGGACCAAGAGCAUCAGCCAUGAGCAUGCCCCCUCCCUUCAGGCUCGCUCCUACAGCUUCCCGCCCCUGGCCAACACCCCACCAAGCCUACAGAACACAGUGAUUGUAGAGGAAGAUCUCCAGGCAGUGGAGGAAGGUGUGUUUGAUGUCCAUCUAUAACCAGAUGAUAACCAAUAGGCAGGCCUGGCCUGAUAUGUCCCUUCAGAAGUCCUACGUACUCUGGCAUUCAUACAGCCAAACACUGCCAGGAGGAAACAACAGUGGUCGGGAGCCAGAAGCCUGCUGGGGUCUGCUCAGCAGGGUACAACGUUACAUAAAGCAGAUAUAAAUGUAUCAUCAAGUACAGAUUAUGAUUGUUUGUCGUCUAAAAGAGGGAAUCGUUUCAGCUCUAUCCAUUCCAUUUCUAUCUGCAACAUUCAGACUGCCAUUAGGUAGAACAGAUAUGAUUGUCUGUCGUCUAAAAGAGGGAAUCGUUUCAGCUCUAUCCAUUCCAUUUCUAUCUGCAACAUUCAGACUGCCAUUAGGUAGAACAGAUAUGAUUGUCUGUCGUCUAAAAGAGGGAAUCGUUUCAGCUCUAUCCAUUCCAUUUCUAUCUGCAACAUUCAGACUGCCAUUAGGUAGAACAGAUAUGAUUGUCUGUCGUCUAAAAGAGGGAAUCGUUUCAGCUCUAUCCAUUCCAUUUCUAUCUGCAACAUUCAGACUGCCAUUAGGUAGAACAGAUAUGAUUGUCGGUUGUGUAGAAGAGAGAACAUUGUCCACUUUAUUCAAGGCAUGUCACUCACACACAGAGCGAGAGAGAGAUGCCGCCACAUAGUGGAAAAAUACUGCAAAUGCAAACCUUACAUUUACUCAAGAUUUCAACUCCCUCAAUAUAAGUGAAUUUGUACAAAAUGUCUUUCUGUGUUAAAUCUAUAUUUUAAAAUGUGGAUGUAAGCCCAUGUUUUCAUAUCUCUUACCUAGUUUACCUAACACUGAAUAUAGAAAAUAAAAUCACAUUGUGUUUAGUGUGAUGUUAUUA